UACGAAGGGAGCUAGCGUUGUUCGGAAUCACUGGGCGUAAAGCGCACGUAGGCGGAUGUGUCAGUCAGGGGUGAAAUCCCGGAGCUCAACUUCGGAACUGCCUUUGAUACAGCACGUCUUGAGUCCGAUAGAGGUGGGUGGAAUUCCUAGUGUAGAGGUGAAAUUCGUAGAUAUUAGGAAGAACACCGGUGGCGAAGGCGGCUAUCUGGCCCGUAAUUGACGCUGAGGCGCGGAAGCGUGGGGAGCAAACAGG
Molecule: ribosomal RNA, 253 nt
Filed under: uncultured bacterium
Lineage: Bacteria
Description: partial 16S ribosomal RNA
Rfam family: Bacterial small subunit ribosomal RNA
Source: RNAcentral